GCGGAGGAAAAGAAACCAACAGGGAUUACCUCAGUAACGGCGAGUGAAGCGGUAACAGCUCAAAUUUGAAAUCUGGGUCUUUCAGGCUCCGAGUUGUAAUUUGUAGAAGAUGCUUCGGGUGCGGCUCCGGUCUAAGUUCCUUGGAACAGGACGUCAUAGAGGGUGAGAAUCCCGUAUGUGAUCGGCCGCUUGCGCCCAUGUGAAGCUCUUUCGACGAGUCGAGUUGUUUGGGAAUGCAGCUCCAAAUGGGUGGUAUAUUUCAUCUAAAGCUAAAUAUUGGCCAGAGACCGAUAGCGCACAAGUAGAGUGAUCGAAAGAUGAAAAGCACUUUGGAAAGAGAGUUAAACAGUACGUGAAAUUGUUGAAAGGGAAGCGCUUGCAACCAGACUUGCGUGUUGUUGAUCAUCCGGGGUUCUCCCCGGUGCACUCGACCUCACUCAGGCCAGCAUCGGUUUCGGUGGUUGGAUAAAGGCCUUGGGAAUGUAGCUCCUCUCGGGGAGUGUUAUAGCCCUCGGUGCAAUGCAGCCUACCGGGACCGAGGACCGCGCUUCGGCUAGGAUGCUGGCGUAAUGGUUGUAAGCGACCCGUCUUGAAACACGGACCAAGGAGUCUAACAUCUAUGCGAGUGUUUGGGUGUCAAACCCAUACGCGUAAUGAAAGUGAACGGAGGUGAGAACCCUUAAGGGUGCAUCAUCGACCGAUCCUGAUGUCUUCGGAUGGAUUUGAGUAAGAGCAUAGCUGUUGGGACCCGAAAGAUGGUGAACUAUGCCUGAAUAGGGUGAAGCCAGAGGAAACUCUGGUGGAGGCUCGCAGCGGUUCUGACGUGCAAAUCGAUCGUCAAAUUUGGGUAUAGGGGCGAAAGACUAAUCGAACCAUCUAGUAGCUGGUUCCUGC
This 894-nucleotide ribosomal RNA is filed under the name Phlyctema vagabunda. Its description in RNAcentral is "partial 28S rRNA". It matches the Rfam family "Eukaryotic large subunit ribosomal RNA", at positions 50 to 961 of the family's 3401-position model. Lineage: Eukaryota; Fungi; Ascomycota; Leotiomycetes; Helotiales; Dermateaceae. The record is from RNAcentral.